UAACGAAUCUUCCGCAAUGCACGAAAGUGUGACGGAGCGACGCCGCGUGUAGGACGAAGCCCUUCGGGGUGUAAACUACUGUCAGGGGUUACCAAGUUCUGAGGAGCCCCAGAGGAAGGCAUGGCUAACUCUGUGCCAGCAGCCGCGGUAAGACAGAGGUGCCGAGCGUUAGGCGGAAUCACUGGGCUUAAAGCGUGUGUAGGCGGAGUGCUAAGUACCUUGUGAAAUCCCACAGCUCAACUGUGGAACUGCUUGGUAUACUGGUUCUCUUGAGCCACUUAGGGGGCAAUCGGAACAAACGGUGGAGCGGUGAAAUGCGUAGAUAUCGUUUGGAACGCCAAUGGUGAAAACAGAUUGCUGGGAGUGUGCUGACGCUGAGACACGAAAGCCAGGGGAGCGAACGGGAUUAGAUACCCCGGUAGUCCUGGCCGUAAACGAUGUCGACUAGAUCGUGGCAGCUCUGACGUUGUCACGGUCGAAGCAAAAGUG
Molecule: ribosomal RNA, 489 nt
Filed under: uncultured bacterium
Lineage: Bacteria
Description: bacterial SSU rRNA
Rfam family: Bacterial small subunit ribosomal RNA
Source: RNAcentral